UCUGCGCGGCGGGGCGGGGCGGAGCGAACCAGCGCGGAAAGAAACGCCCCGUCGGCCGCCUGCCGCCCGCCAAAUCCGCCCCCAGAGCUCGGCGGGCACUGCGGCACCGGGCCGGCUGCUCGGCCGCCUCUUCCCACCUCCGACCCAACCGGCGGGGUGGGCUCUGCCGGAGGGCACUGACGCCGAAGAGGGCAAGGCCACCAGCGACAAGCCUGGCACAGCAAGGCACUGGGAGCGGGAUGCAGAAACCCUGGUCAUCUGCUGGGCUCUGAACCACACCUGGAAGGAACAAACUGCCAACACCUGCCUGCAGCAAGCACCCCAAAACAAAUAACGUGCUUCCUUGCUUUGUUUUCAUAGCUCUAAAUCUGCAAUCCUGUGGAAAUAUGUCUGCUUGAAACAGAAAACGCACCUUAGAGCACCGUCAUGCCUUUCCGAGUUAAUGCUUGUAGACCUAGGGGUUUUCUCCUUGGUGCUCAUCCCCAGGUACCCGUGCUGCAGAGAAUGACUGUCCUGUGACGUAGCAUUAACCCUGCCCAAAUGGAGGAACAGCAGCGCUCACAGUUCAGACAAACACUCUGCAGAGUGAGAAACCUUUUCUAGUGUAGUUUCACUGACUUUUAUCAAGGCAAAAGUCUAUUAGUUCUGUUUGGAACAAUUCACAAGUACUAUCUAAAUCAAGAAGGUUCAUAGGAAUAAUUAAGUUGCAUGGAACCUGUCCUGUAAUAGAAAAGUUAUUUGCUCUUUGGUCAAAAAUUUCAAUUAGAAAAUGCUUCAACAGAAGAAAAAAUACCUUACUAUGAUCAGAGUUUUGACAAAUAAAAUGCAACCAACUUAUUUUAUAAUUAGAUAUGACUACUCAUGCUUUGUACCUAUUAGCCAUUUCACUCCCACAGUGAAAUAAAAAUAAAGUCCAGAAUGUUCAA
This is a long non-coding RNA of Aquila chrysaetos chrysaetos, 926 nucleotides long. RefSeq lists it as uncharacterized. NCBI's taxonomy places the organism in Eukaryota, Metazoa, Chordata, Aves, Accipitriformes, Accipitridae. The record is from RefSeq and is a predicted model, not a curated record. The transcript has 2 exons.